Molecule: non-coding RNA, 75 nt
Organism: Myotis davidii
Lineage: Eukaryota; Metazoa; Chordata; Mammalia; Chiroptera; Vespertilionidae
Source: Rfam
AGUGGUUCUCCAGUGACACACCCCGGAACCAGGCUCCCUCCUCUCUGGUUACGGGCAUGUCACCCGAGAACCGCA